This is a non-coding RNA of Micropterus dolomieu (smallmouth bass), 556 nucleotides long. The record is from the annotation of a RefSeq genome assembly. NCBI's taxonomy places the organism in Eukaryota, Metazoa, Chordata, Actinopteri, Centrarchiformes, Centrarchidae.
CACAGUAAAGGUGUCCUCUAAGCUGAUUGGUGUCUCCUAGGUGAUGUCCGUCCCACCCUGACGGUGCUGCCCCCCUCCAGUGAGGAGCUGCAGCAGGGGAAGGCCACGCUCAUGUGCCUGGCCAACAAGGGCUUCCCCUCAGACUGGAGUCUGGCCUGGAAGGUGGACGGCAGCAGCAGCAGCAGCAGCUGGGAGGAGAGCAGGAGCCCCGGGGUGCUGGAGAAGGACGGCCGCUACAGCUGGAGCAGCACCCUGAGGCUCCCUGCAGACCAGUGGAGGAAGGUGGGCUCUGUGACCUGUGAGGCCACCCAGGGCUCCCAGGCUCUGGUCUCAGAGACACUGAGGAGAGACCAGUGUUCCCAGUCCUGACCUGACUCACUGGGACUCUGCUACUGGUUUUACUCUGCUACUGCUCUCAGUCUGAAUUCAUCAAAGAUCUAUCCCUCUCUCUCUCUUUCCUUCCCUAACUCACUCUCUAAUUACAUGUUUCAUUGAUAAAUUUGUUUUCUUGUUGUCAUUUCAAUUGUUUCAAUAAAAUAAAGACCAGUUCAUCAAA